RNAcentral lists this ribosomal RNA (486 nucleotides) under uncultured bacterium. Its description in RNAcentral is "partial 16S ribosomal RNA". It matches the Rfam family "Bacterial small subunit ribosomal RNA", at positions 30 to 507 of the family's 1533-position model. The record is from RNAcentral.
AUUGAACGCUGGCGGCAUGCCUUACACAUGCAAGUCGAACGGCAGCACGGGUGCUUGCACCUGGUGGCGAGUGGCGAACGGGUGAGUAAUACAUCGGAACAUGUCCUGUAGUGGGGGAUAGCCCGGCGAAAGCCGGAUUAAUACCGCAUACGAUCUACGGAUGAAAGCGGGGGACCUUCGGGCCUCGCGCUAUAGGGUUGGCCGAUGGCUGAUUAGCUAGUUGGUGGGGUAAAGGCCUACCAAGGCGACGAUCAGUAGCUGGUCUGAGAGGACGACCAGCCACACUGGAACUGAGACACGGCCCAGACUACUACGGGAGGCAGCAGUGGAGAAUUUUAGACAAUGGGCGAAAGCCUGAUCCAGCAAUGCCGCGUGUGUGAAGAAGGCCUUCGGGUUGUAAAGCACUUUUGUCCGGAAAGAAAUCCUUGGCCCUAAUACGGUCGGGGGAUGACGGUACCGGAAGAAUAAGCACCGGCUAACUACGUG